Molecule: long non-coding RNA, 440 nt
Organism: Lolium perenne
Lineage: Eukaryota; Viridiplantae; Streptophyta; Magnoliopsida; Poales; Poaceae
Source: RefSeq, a predicted model, not a curated record
UGCAUGAUUAAAUGAAACUCUCAGGCUGCCCAAAAAAAAGAGAAGGGUCUCCUCCAUUUUUGAGAGAUUCCAUCUGAGGCUAUGAUGGCGUCAUCCAUCAGGCGUCAAACCGCAACUUUUUCUUGCCCGAGAAAAUGCAGAGCCACUGGUGUAAAAUCGAGGGAUGGUGUUGGUGCAUGCCGAGGACGCUGGUGUCGCCUCUGUUUUUCUGGCAUAUGCUUGUGUCAAUGUGAAGCAUCUCAUAUUUCUAUUCUUCUUAUUUCUAAUAUGAUACGGAGUAGAAUCAUUUUAGGGUAUGAGAGGCAGACAUUGCUCGGACUUGGUAGGGCAAACAUCUUCUAGAUGUACUCCUAGAUCUUUUCUCCAAGUGAUGUACAACUUUAUUAUUAUUUUCCUUAAACAAAUGAUAGUAAUCAUGUGGGGUACUCCCUUUUAAUUCA